UGAGAACUACGAAUAGUUCCCAAUGGGUUCGGCCGCCGACUCCGCCGAUCUACCCACUAGGUCUUAAGCAGGCAUAGAGAGAUAUAUAUGCAAUAUAUAUAAAACUAAGCUAAACUGAAAGCAGGUAUUUGAAACAGGUAUAUCAAGCUAUGCCUCAAUCUGACAUCAUGGAUGCAUGAACAAUAAAUAAAGCUGGGUAAGUGCGCAACUAUGAACAUCUACAGCUAUCAUAGUAAGCUCUAAAACAUGCUACUAGGAAAGCAAAUAAGCUGAUAUGAAUAAUGAAUGGCUACUAUGAACAUCAAUCAUGGGUAAGACUCACUGGGUAAUCCAAUCUCCAAGUGAACACAAGGUUCAUAAGCAAGACUCACAUGUUAACCUCCGAGGGAUGCCUAGCUGGACUAUCCCCGAGUACGCCUGCGGAUAACAAGCGGCUAUCCGAGCAGCAAGCAGGCUGCCUCUCUAGUGACCAACUCCGGAGCGCACAACUUGAGGGGAGCGACCCCACCAAGCGCAGACAGGCAAUGUGAGCAUGAUCAACUCACUAGCAACAACAACCCUUUGUGGGUAAUAUUAGCAUAGAUCAAUAAGUUCUUGUACCCAAUCUCAUAGUGUCUCAACCACACUAAUAAGAUCAUCUCAAGUAAAUAUCAAGCAUGUGCCACUCAGUCAUAGUUUUCUAACUAGAUACUACUCGUCAUUUAGACUCAUCAACAAUGUUAGUUCUUUUACAUUAUAAGCUCUAAUCAUCUCAUAUAGGGUUGACUCUCAUCAUUAAACUCUAUCAUUUAAUCUCAUGCAUACUAGUUUAUAAAUCAUUCAAUCGACUAUAUCUAUAACUACUAGCAUGCAAUUUGAAGCAAUAUAAUAAAUCUUUAACCCUAUAAGAACAUGCACAAUAUGCAACUUGGUCAUAUUUAAACUUAGACAUAAUGGGUAGCACGAUGACUUUGGGAUGGCACUCCCCAACCUUAGGUGAUGCCGAAAACACUUCGAGACGCGCUCUCGUGCUAAUCUUGUCGCCGCUUAAUUUUUGUUGGGUUAGCUUUAACCCUAUAGCACUUCAAAUGGUGAUAUCUUCGCGCUCGAUUUUCGUAUCGACGAACCGUCUUCGCCUACGCGUUUAUAAGCAUAAGAAUUAGGUUUCCGACCCAUCAAAAUAGAUCAAAACCCUUUAAUCCCAAAAACCCCAAAAUCCAACCCUAGGUUUUGCACCCAAGGGAAUCCAUGGUUUCUAGCUUCAAUGUGAGCUAAAUUCAUGUCCUCUAAACUCAUUAGAUUCCAUUUGAACCAAUAAAUCAAACAAAAACUCACAAAACCCUAGAAUCUCACAAUUAGGGUUGAGGCUUACUCUAGGGUUUGCUCCAAAGCAAGCCCUAGCUUGAGGAAGAGGAGGGAGAGAAGCUUCUUCUUCUCCUCCUUGAUCUUCUCCUUCUUCUUCUCUUUCUUUCUCUCCUUUUCUUCUUCUUCUUUUCUUUCUUUCCCUUUUUCGGUUUAGAGAGAGAGAGCUAAGUGAGAGGGAGAGAGAACGGCUAAGAGGGAGUGAGAGAGUGGCUGAGAGAGAGGGGAUAUAACCCUCUAUUGUAACAAAAUUCCAAAAGCCCCCUCAAAAAUCUAUUUUUCCAACUUGACCUGCAGUUUCGGGUCCCUUGUACCGGUACACGGUUUCUUGUACCGGUACAAGGCCUGGCAGACAGCUCAACCCGAGGCUCGGUUUCUCGGUUGCGCAGGGCUUGUACCGGUACAAGACCCCUUUGUACCGGCACAAGGUCUGGCAGCCUCCAACCCGAGAGCCUGCGAUGGUUGUACCGGUACAACCAUCACUCUUGUACCGGUACAACAGCUCCAGAAUGCUGUUUUCACAUCUCUUCGGCUCUAUUUCGCGCCGUUUGAUGUCAAAACCAAUCCAACACCUUUGGAACUCAUUUUAGCUCUUCCAAACCCUUCAAUUGCCCACUUUGGUCCAUUUGGCCAAAGUUAGCCAAAUUCCAUCGAGAUUCAAUAUCUCACAUCUAUCUAGCAUGAAUAUGUAUGAUUUUUUAUUUUACAAUAAAGGCAAUGACAUAGGAGUUCACACAUUUCGGUGAGGUCAAACCCACCAGAUACCCGUCGAAUCCCCUUCGUUUGCGCGAACGAGUAUGCCCACUAGUCGCCUAGCUCCUAACAAAAAUUCUAAGACAGUUAGGGGUUCCGAACGAAUACCCCACAAGAUCCACAAAAUUCAACCCAUAAAUAGGUAGAAAAUUACCUUAAAUUGUGAAGAAUCCAAACUUCAAAUGAGAGCUAGAACACUUCUAAUCCAACUUAUAGGAAGGCAUUAGAACAAACAAUUUAGCCCCUAAGGCCCUAGCAAGAAAAUCUCCAAAAUAAAACCCUAGUUUCCAAAACUAGGUUUCCAUCUCAAAAAGACCCCUAAAAAAGAUGUAGUCUGCAACUGCACUGCGUACCGGUACGCGGGCUGGAGUACCGGUACCCAACAGCUGAGCUCGCAAACCCGAGCCUCUGUCAAUUGGACAGACUGCAGUGUACCGGUACUUGUGCGAUGCAGUACCUAUUCCAGGCUCCAGUAUCGGUACUCGGGCGAUGCAGUACCGGUACUCUGCCUCGCAAAGCUCAAACCAAAGAGUACCCCUCUCGGUUACGCGAUGUGGUUCUGGUACCCCUUCUCUGGUACUGGUAUCCAGCACCCUAAAACCUACACUUUGGAGGUUUUGGUGCUAAGUACCCACUCUUGCUUCUCAAGACGCGAGUAAACAGGUCGGAACAUAGUCAACGACCCUCACAUACUGUCACGCCCCAACCGCACACCCGAAACUAUUUGGUCCGGUUCGAAAGCGGCGGGCGUGAGGCCGAACGGACAGAGUCUCCCCUGUGCGCCUAAGGCUAACCAACGAGAUUGUGCACAACAAGUCCCCAGGAAAAACAACUUGAUUUCAUACACAAUCGAAAGAACGAUAACACAAACAGUACUGUUAAAACCAUCAAGAGCAAACGAUACUAGUAAAAGCAUAUAAGUAUACAAAAGAGAGAAACUUAACUAUUUGAACCAUGAAACUAGAAGUAUUUAAAUACAACUUGCAUUAAACUUCAUUUAAACCUUCAUACAUGUUUUUCCAUAUUUUCCAUAAUGAAAAUACAUCCAAAAACUCUCCAAAACCUCACCCUAUACAACACCUACUCUCAAAAUAUAAAGACAGGGUGGAGCUAAUGCAAGUAGGAAGUAAGCUACCAACUGAUACCGCUAGGGCGCCAAGCCAUCGCCGCGAUCCUCCCGCUCGGUCGGGACACUCGAACUAGUGCUUGCAACAACGGGUGUGAGAAUUACGAAUAGUUCCCAGUGGGUUCGGCCGCCGACUCCACCGAUCUACCCACUAGGUCGAAGCAGGCAUAGAGAGAUAUAUGCAAUAUAUAUAUAAAGCUAAACCAACUAAAAGCAGGUAUGAAAAUUAAGCAAGUAAGGAAAUGUAAGCAAGUAGGUAGAAUCAUGAAUAUCUAGUUAUGCCUCAAUCUGAUAUCAUGCAUGCAUGAACAACAGAUAAAGCUGGGUAGUAAGCUACUAUGAACAACAACAACAAGUAAGCUAAAAUGAACAACCAUAGAGAAGCUACUACAACAACAAAUAAUGAGUGUGACUCAAUAGGUUACCCAAUUUCAUGGUGAACUCGAGGUUCACAAGCAUAACUCAUGUGUAAGUCUCAUAGGGAAAGUCUCACUGAACUACUCCCGAGACCGCCUGCGGACAGUACACAGACCGUCCAGACAGCACACUGACUGUCCCUCUAGUGACCAACCUCCGGAGUGCACAGCUUGCGGGGAGCGACCCCUCCAAGCGCAGACAGGCUAUGUGAGCACGAUCAACUCACGACCAACAGCAUUCUACCCUCUAAGGGUAAUCUCAUCUUAGAAUCAUGGUGUUCUAAUACUCAAUCUCAUAGUGUUUCAGCUACACUAGGGUUCUCAUGUCAUAAGCGAUCAACAAUCAUAUGCCACUUGUCAUAGUUUUCUAUGUUAGAUGCCACUUGCCAUUUUGACUCGUUAUCAACACUAGUUACAUUAUACUAGUUCUUUAACAACAUAAGCAUUAAUCAUCUCAUAUAGGGUCUAGGUUUUCAUCAUAUAGUUUUCAUGCAUACAAUUAGGUUUCCGACCCAUCAAAAUAGAUUAAAACCCUAUAUGCCCAAAAAUCCCAAAAUCCAACCCUAGGUUUAGCACCCACGGAAAAUAAUAGUUUCUAGCUUUAUUGUGAGCUAGAUCCAUACCCUCUAAACUCAUUAGGUUCCAUUUGAACCAUUAAAAACAACAAAAAGCUCCCAAACCCAAGAAAUCACAAGUUAGGGUUGAGGCUUACCUCUAGGGUUUGCUCCAAAGCAAGCCCUAGCUUGAGGAAGAGGAGGGAGAGAAGCUUCUUCUUCUUUUUCUUGAUCUUCUCCUUCCUUUCCUUCUUCUUCUCUUUCUUUCUCUCCUUCUUUUCUUCUUCUUCUUCCAUUUUUCGGUUUAGAGAGAGAGAGAGAGCUAAGUGAGAGGGAGGGAGAGAAGCUAAGAGUGAGAGAGAGGCUGAGAGAGAGAGGUAUACAAAGUCUCUAAUGUAACAAAAUCCCAAAAAGCCGCUCUAUUUUCUAAUUUCCAAAGCAGACCCACUGUUUAGGGUCCAUUGUACCGGUACACGGUUUCUUGUACCGGUAUAAGGCCUGGGUGACAGCCAAACCCGAGCGCUCGGUUUCUCGGUUUCAUAGGGCUUGUACCGGUACAAGGCCCCCUUGUACCGGUACAAGGUCUUGCAGCUCCAACCCGAGAGCUGCGAUGGUUGUACUGGUACAACCAUCACUCUUGUACCUGUACAACAGCUCCAGAAUGCUGUUUUUCUCUUCUCUUCGGCUCUACUUCGCGCCGGUCGAUGUCAAAACCAUUCCAACACCUUUGGAACUCAUUUUUGCUCUUCCAAACUUGUUGGAACCUCGAAUAGAACUUGUCCAAACCGUUCAAUUCCCCACUUUGGUCCAUUUGGCCAAAAUUAGCCAAAUUCCAUCGAGUUUCAAUAUCUCACAUUCUCCACCCCUUAAAAGGAGUUUCGUCCUCGAAACAACUCAACUCAUAAUUCGAACAAAACUCUUACCUCAAUCCUCGAACAAGUGAGGAUGAUUCGCUUUCAUCUCGUCCUCGAGUUCCCAAGUGGCUUCGCGAUCGUCGUGAUUGCUCCACCGAACUUUAACAUAGGGGAUUUCUCGAUUCCUUAGCUUGCGCACCUCCCGAGCUAAAAUCUCCACUGGAAACUCUUCAUAGCUCAUAUCAUCCUGAAGCUCCGGCGGCUCAUAAACUAGAACAUGCUCGGGAUCAUGCAUGUACUUGCAAAGAUUGGAGACGUGGAAGACAUUGUGCACUCCCGCAAGUUUCGGGGGCAAGGCAAGUCGGUACGCCACCAUCCCAAUUCGCUCCAAGAUCUCGUAGGGGCCAAUAUAACGAGGACUUAGCUUUCCUCGCUCCCCAAACCUUUUCACGCCUCGCAUCAGCGAAACCUUCAAAAACACGCGGUCACCCACCGCGAACUCCAAAUCUCUACGACGUUUAUCUGAAUAGCUUUUCUGUCGCGACUGCGCCGUGAGCAACCUUUUGCGAGCAAGUUGGACUUUCUCCUCCGCCUCCCGCAAAACAUCCGGACCAAACUCAACUCGCUCGCCUACAUCACUCCAAUAAAUGGGAGAUCGACACUUCCGCCCGUAGAGAGCCUCGAACGGUGCCAUUCCCACGCUAGCAUGAUAACUGUUGUCAUAGGCGAACUUGUCACGCCCCCGCCCCGGGGCCGCUACCGAUUUGGCACGGUUCGGGCGCGGCAAGCGGACCGCCAAACGGACAGAGUCUCCCCUGUCCGCCCAAGGCUCAAAUGACGAGAUUGUGUACAACAAGUUCCCAGGAAAACACUUGAAUACAUAUACAAUUAUACAACAACUAAAGCACGAACAGUGCUGAACAUUACAAGAGCAAGCGUCACAAGUAGUAGACAUACAAGUGAAACAAAAGAGAGAUACUUAACUAUUCUAUUACAACCAUUCUACUUGAUACAUUUAAUUACAACUUGCAUUCUUUUCCAAAAUAUGAAUAUAAGCGUACAUUCUUCAAAAGAUAACAUUAGUUUACAUUUAUCUCAAAAUACCUCACAUCCUAUACAUCAUCUACUCUCAAUACAUGUAUAGGGUAACUCUAAUGCAAAAUAGGAAAGUAAACUACCAACUAGCAUUAGGGCGCUAAGCCUAUAACGCGAUCUUCUGCCGAUCCGCUCUCGUGUGUACCUGUACCCCAAAACCACACGGGGUGAAAACUAUAUAAAUAUAGUUCCCAGUAGGUUCGGCCGCCGACUUCGCCGAUCUUCCCACUAGGUCCAAGCUGGCACAGAUAGAUAGAUAGAAAGAUAUAUGGAAAUACUACUACUAUAUCUAUUAUGCCAUCAAAUGCAAAGUAUGCAUGGAACAUCAUCUAGCAACAACCUACCAUCAUGCUAGUAUGCCUCUACAGUGAAAUAAAUACAACAACAACAUAGUUAUGCAGUGUACUAUGUCUAAUCAUGGUAUGAAUGCAAUACUCUUAAGCUAUUCAUGUUAUUACCCAAUCUGCUAGGCUACUUUGCCUAAGAUCUCAAAUCUAGUAGGUGAAAAGCUACCUCAUUCUUGUCUCAUUCGAUUCAUGUCUUAAGGGUCCUGAGCAAAGAGCUACCCCGCUCCUCGCCCGACUUAGAUCUCGAAGGUCCGACCCAAUCUCGAAGGUCCUAGGCAAAGAGCUACCCCACUCCUUGCCCGACUCACAUCUCAAAGUCCUAGGCAAAGGCUACCCCGCACUUUGCCCGACUCACAUCUCGACCUACUAGGUACAGGGCUACUCCACUCAAAUCUCAUAGGUGAAGGAAUAGUAUAUCAUGAAUGCAUGAGCAAUAAGUAAGCUACUAUGAACACUAGUAAGCUACUAUGAACAACACAACAACUAUGGAAGCGAGCUAUCAUGAACAACGAUAAUGAGUAUGACUCAAUAGGUAACCAAAUCUCAUGGUGAACUCGGGGUUCACGAACAUAUCUCACGUGUAAG
RNAcentral lists this long non-coding RNA (7071 nucleotides) under Ananas comosus (pineapple). Its description in RNAcentral is "long non-coding RNA (ACOM_LNC041371)". Lineage: Eukaryota; Viridiplantae; Streptophyta; Magnoliopsida; Poales; Bromeliaceae. The record is from RNAcentral.